This 500-nucleotide ribosomal RNA is filed under the name uncultured bacterium. RNAcentral's name for it is "bacterial SSU rRNA". It matches the Rfam family "Bacterial small subunit ribosomal RNA", at positions 8 to 502 of the family's 1533-position model. The record is from RNAcentral.
AGAGUUUGAUCCUGGCUCAGAUUGAACGCUGGCGGUAUGCUUAACACAUGCAAGUCGAACGGUAACAGCAGAGCUUGCUCUGGCUGACAAGUGGCGGACGGGUGCGUAACGCGUGGGAAUCUACCUUGUAGUGGGGGAUAGCCCGGAGAAAUCCGGAUUAAUACCGCAUAAUCUCUACGGAGCAAAGUGGGGGAUCUUCGGACCUCACGCUAUUAGAUGAGCCCGCGUUAGAUUAGCUUGUUGGUGAGGUAAUGGCUCACCAAGGCGACGAUCUAUAGCUGGUUUGAGAGGAUGAUCAGCCACACUGGGACUGAGACACGGCCCAGACUCCUACGGGAGGCAGCAGUGGGGAAUAUUGGACAAUGGGCGCAAGCCUGAUCCAGCAAUACCGCGUGUGUGAAGAAGGCCUGAGGGUUGUAAAGCACUUUCAAUAGAGACGAAAAGCUCAGGGUUAAUAACUCUGGGUCUUGACUUAACCUAUAGAAGAAGCACCGCUAACU